ACAUUGAAUUUAGAAAGUUAAAUCUAGCAAACAACCUGACAGACUGUUCAGUCUUUAAUAAUGUGAGAAUAAACAGAAUAAAUUAAAAGCACACCAUAUUCUUCUCAGCUUCCUCAGGGGCUUUGUCCAAACAGCUUGAACAACUGCAAAAUAAUAUUCAGGAACCAUGAUAGUGUUUGGUACAUAGAGGACACUGGAAAUGGUUUUCUUAACUGAACAAGUGACUAGAAUAAAGGAAUUAAUGAACGACAUCAGAGCUGAAAUCCCAAACCAUAAAUCAUAAAAGGAUCAGACAGCAAAGAGUACUCAAAAGCUGAUUUAUUGAGAUCCUGAUGAGUUUGAAGUAACUAGAAACUUGAUCAAACAGUGACAAGACCCAAGAUUUGUUUUACUCUAAAGUGAGAAAUUAUCCUCAACAAAAAAACAUUUCACAGUGAGAAUCAGAAGAAUAUUUGCAUCAGGCAACUCUGGGUGCUAGAUAUUUAUUUUUUUUCUUUUUCACAUGAACUAUAAAAACUUACCACAAAAGACUGAUCUCCACAACUGCUUAUACUCUAGGAUUAUUAUACAUUGCACUGUUCUUGCUGAUACUCCAAAGACAUGUAGAAAAUAGAAAGGUAUAUUUCUCUCUUACCAUUUAUAGUCGAUUUCUUGAAAGAUAUGUACAUGUCGUUACCUUGCGUUCACCCCGCAACUGACUUCUGUAUAAUUUUCUACUCACCACCAGUGAAAAUGCACCUGUCAAAGGUAUUAACAUCACCCUUAUAACAAAUCUAAUUACCAUUUUUAGCCCUCACCUUAUUUAUCAUUUGAGUUCUUUUAAAAUUCUCAGAAGUUCCACCAUUGGAAAUAAAAAUGAAAAAGAUUUUGCAAAGGCAAUUAAUAAUGAGUCAUCAGAGAGAAUGAAGCCACCAAGGAAAUCUAAAGUUUCAAAAACUUGGGAAAGGUCGACAAUGUCAGACAUCCAAGGGAUGACUGAAAAUAUUCUGCUAAUAUGCCAUUGGUGAACAAUACAGAGAUUCCAAAAUGAAAGAAAAGUCAUCCUCUCUGGAAAUGUGAAGCAUAACUAAAGUUUGACCAACAAGUUGUAGAAGUGAAAGGCAUCAAAUAUAAUAACCAAAGAAAACAGAAAAAUACCACACGUCCGGUAAUUCCUCAGCUGGCAGUAAAAACAGAUGAUUGAUUUAAACCUUUUCUCUACAUACAUUCUCAGGUGGGAGGCCUUUGCCCCACAUUUUGCUAAUAAUGUUAUGCAUUUCAUGCAUCUAAUGUCACACUCUCAGUGCUGGAAUCAAAGCCAUAUAAUCAUCAAACAGGUCUUUGGUCUUUGUUAUUCAAAAUCAGAGGAAAAUAGAAUUAAUUAAUGACUAAAAAAUAGUUAAGUCUCUCACUUUUUGAAUCCACCUCUCUUUAUAGUAUUCCUUAGGUUUCCCUGUUUUAAGAGUUAGCACUUGUAUCUGAUGGGAGGGGAGUUAGCUUUUUAAAAUUUUUUUUAAU
Molecule: long non-coding RNA, 1497 nt
Filed under: Homo sapiens (human)
Lineage: Eukaryota; Metazoa; Chordata; Mammalia; Primates; Hominidae
Description: HSALNT0319060
Source: RNAcentral